Oreochromis aureus is the source of this 578-nucleotide long non-coding RNA. RefSeq lists it as uncharacterized. The record is from RefSeq and is a predicted model, not a curated record. NCBI's taxonomy places the organism in Eukaryota, Metazoa, Chordata, Actinopteri, Cichliformes, Cichlidae. The transcript has 4 exons.
CACUCUCUGGUUCCUUUCUCAUUCCUGUGUUGUCACUUGUUGGAACAGUCUGUGUUGUGGUUCUGCUGGUGUUACUUGAUCUGCUGGUGAGACGAUGUGUUCACAGGAAACCUGAAGCAACAGAAGAAGAUGACAUCACACAGACUGGAAUCAAAAUAACAAAUCAUCAAAAACUGCCGUUUAAACAAAGAAGAGACAUUUAUUCAUCUGUGGUCUACUCAGGAGUGAGUACUGAAGAUGUCAGUUAUGGACAGACAGCAGUCCGAAUGAGGAGGUCCAGACUUUAAACCAGAGCCAGACGUCGUCUACUCUUCACUGAAGUAGUCCACCAGUCCAACCACUGAUGUCCAGUUGCUGGUCUUGAACUGGUCCCCACAGCACCUCAGAUCAGAGUGUGUUCACUUGUUAAAUGAGGGAAAACUUUACAUUUUAUUUAUUUUUCCACUGGAGAAUCUUUUUUUAUGUGCUGAAAAAUAGUGACAGCAGUUUAAACAAAUUUGUAUGAUUUUAUGCCCUAUAAAAUUUUGGAGUUAUUUUUAUUUUGUUAAUGUUUGUUGGAUUUCUGCAGGCUCAAUAAA